This 26-nucleotide unclassified non-coding RNA is filed under the name Mus musculus (house mouse). RNAcentral's name for it is "piRNA piR-mmu-68311491". Lineage: Eukaryota; Metazoa; Chordata; Mammalia; Rodentia; Muridae. The record is from RNAcentral.
UUGGAGUCGCCUAUUAUUGUGUGCAG